This 821-nucleotide long non-coding RNA is filed under the name Marmota monax (woodchuck). The record is from RNAcentral. Lineage: Eukaryota; Metazoa; Chordata; Mammalia; Rodentia; Sciuridae.
AUCAGUCCCCACAUCUUCUUGUGUUGAAAUCAGUGAGGAGCAAGGAGAUAGCACUUCUGAGAGGGUGAGGGACAAGGAGAAGCCAAGUGUGCAGAGAUGGGGAAAUUGCCUGGGGUGCCUGGGAGUGCCCAGGAUGAAUGGAGUUAGGGGCUCCCAUUUAAGACAGGGUAACAUAUUGGGAAGGGGGAGCAGAAUGGUCUGAGAACUCAGUGUGGAGCAAGGACCCCACCCCAGCUGCUGGCCCAAGAAUAUAUUGUCCCCAUGUAAAUCCCCAGGGGAGAGGACUUCACUGGGCCUUUGUCCUCUGGCAGGCAAAGAUAUCUUGAGGGGAUUUUGUAGGUUUGUUUUUCAUAAGUUGAGGAUUCCAGGAGGUGUCAUGGGAAGAUUCCAGGAUUUGGGAAGAGGGCACAAGAGGAGACAGAACAGGGGUGUGCAGAGCCUCACGAGGAUAACAGUGCAGGAUGUUGAAGGGGACCUAGCAUGGCUAACCAAACAGGGAAGGGACACAGGUGGUUAGUCCUGGGGGAUUCAGGACAGGCAGUGAGGUGGGCUGGGAGAGGAGCAGGUGUAAGAGCAGUUGGGUCUGUUUCUUUUCUCUAUGGAUGAAGAUUAGUUUUGGGUUGUUGGGUCUUAGUGCCAUUGUGUAACCUUUCUUGACCUCUGAUCAUUAGGUGGAGUGUCUGAGGGUGGAGGUUGGCUAGGCUGUGCAUGAUUUAUUCCUCAACUGAGGAGAGUUGGGUGCUUACCCCUAGGGUCAGACCUUCUGACACCUGCUGCUGGAGGUGCCAUUUCUGGGUACCAUAUGACACCCUGACACAGAG